UUAUUCUAUUUCAAAAAGUGAAUUUAUAUAUUCAACAAUGAUUUAUUCUGGACAUGCAUACUCUAAGAGGGACAUGACAUCUUAAUAUAUGGAUAGUUAAGAUAAGAAAAGAUUCUUAUACGGAUUUCAAGGACAUGAUUUUGGAUAGAUUUGGAUUAUGAUGUUUGAACCUUUGUACACUCAUGCAAGUCAUGUCAAUAUAAUAAAGUAUGCAACAUUGUUGUAAUAUAUGAAGUCUUGCUUAAAAAUUCUCUAGACACCUAAUUUUGGAAGAUAGAAUGGAAAUUACAACAAAAAAAUCCUAAUUCUAAUAGAAUACUAACUAAAUACUAAAUAGACCAUAACAAUGCUAAGUAAGCUUUAAUCAAAUUCAAAAAAACCUCAAAAGAAUUACAAAGAAAUAAUAAAAAAUCUUAAAGAAAUAUUAGAAUGAUUACAAAUAUAUUUCAAAUAUAUCUCAAUUCAAUCUUAAUUUAAUCCUAAUUAAAAUCCUAUUGGACUUCAUUCAAACUUUAGACCAAAAACUAACUAAAUCUUAAAUCCUAAUCAAACCCUAAAUCCUAAAUUAAAGUAUAACCAAAUCCUAAAUCAAACCAUAACCAAAUCCUAACCAAAUCCUAACCAAAUCCUAAAUCAAACCAUAACCAAAUUUUAAAUCAAAUCCUAAUUAAAUCCUAAAUCCUAAAUAAAAUCCAAAUCAAACCCUAAAUCCUAAAUCCUAAAUUCUAAAUAAAAUCCAAAUUAAAUCCUAAAUCCUAAAUCAAACUAUAACUAAAUCCUAACCAAAUUCUAAAUCAAAUCCUAAUCAAAUUCUAAAUCCUAAAUAAAAUCCUAAUCGAAUCUUAAAUCCUAAAUCAAACCCUAACCAAAUCCUAAAUCAAAUCCUAAAUCAAAUCCUAAAU
This 902-nucleotide long non-coding RNA is filed under the name Physcomitrium patens. RNAcentral describes it as "long non-coding RNA (PPAT_LNC008716)". Lineage: Eukaryota; Viridiplantae; Streptophyta; Bryopsida; Funariales; Funariaceae. The record is from RNAcentral.